AUAGACGCGCCUCGGUUAGAACCUCAUUAG
Molecule: small RNA, 30 nt
Filed under: Arabidopsis thaliana (thale cress)
Lineage: Eukaryota; Viridiplantae; Streptophyta; Magnoliopsida; Brassicales; Brassicaceae
Description: ATSL294440
Source: RNAcentral